AAAAAAGCGGAGGAAAAGAAACCAACAGGGAUUGCCUCAGUAACGGCGAGUGAAGCGGCAACAGCUCAAAUUUGAAAUCUGGCUCCCUUGGGGGUCCGAAUUGUAAUUUGCAGAGGAUGCCUCGGGUGCGGGUUCCUUCCGAGUUCCCUGGAACGGGACGCCAUAGAGGGUGAGAGCCCCGUCUGGUCGGAAACCCAGCCCAUGUGAGGCUCCCUCGACGAGUCGAGUAGUUUGGGAAUGCUGCUCUAAGGGGAGGUAUACUCCUUCCAAGGCUAAAUACCGGCUAGAGACCGAUAGCGCACAAGUAGAGUGAUCGAAAGAUGAAAAGCACUUUGAAAAGAGAGUCAAAUAGCACGUGAAAUUGCUGAAAGGGAAGCGCUUAUUACCAGACUUGGGUUCGGCGGUUCAACCGGCGCCACGCGCCGGGGCACUCCGCCGGCCCAGGCCAGCAUCAGCUCUCCGUCGGGGGCAAAGGCGUCGGGAAUGUAGCUCCCCCUCGGGGGAGUGUUAUAGCCCGGCGUGUCAUACCCUUCGGGGGGCUGAGGUCCGCGCUCCGCAAGGAUGCUGGCGUAAUGGUAAUCAGUGACCCGUCUUGA
This 596-nucleotide ribosomal RNA is filed under the name Nigrocephalum collariferum. RNAcentral's name for it is "eukaryotic LSU rRNA". It matches the Rfam family "Eukaryotic large subunit ribosomal RNA", at positions 44 to 657 of the family's 3401-position model. The record is from RNAcentral. Lineage: Eukaryota; Fungi; Ascomycota; Sordariomycetes; Glomerellales; Plectosphaerellaceae.